CAGGAUUAGAUACCCUGGUAGUCCGCGCCGUAACCGAUGGGCGCUAGUUGUGGGGACCUUCCACGGUUUCUGCGACGCAGCUAACGCAUUAAGCGCCCCGCCUGGGGAGUACGAUCGCAAGAUUAAAACUCAAAGGAAUUGACGGGGACCCGCACAAGCAGCGGAGCAUGCGGCUUAAUUCGACGCAACGCGAAGAACCUUACCAAGGCUUGACAUAUAGUGAAAAGCGGCAGAGAUGUCGUGUCCGCAAGGGCGCUAUACAGGUGGUGCAUGGUUGUCGUCAGCUCGUGUCGUGAGAUGUUGGGUUAAGUCCCGCAACGAGCGCAACCCUCGUUCUGUGUUGCCAGCAUUUAGUUGGGGACUCACAGGAGACUGCCGUGGUUAACACGGAGGAAGGUGGGGAUGACGUCAAAUCAUCAUGCCCCUUAUGUCUUGGGCUGCACGCAUGCUACAAUGGCCGAUACAAAGGGCUGCAAUACCGUGAGGUGGAGCGAAUCCCAUAAAGUCGGUCUCAGUUCGGAUUGAGGUCUGCAACUCGACCUCAUGAUGUCGGAGUUGCUAGUAAUCGUAGAUCAGCAACGCUACGGUGAAUACGUUCCCGGGUCUUGUACACACCGCCUGUCACAUCACGAAAGUCGUAACACCCGAAGUCAGUGGCCCAACCGUAAGGAGGGAGC
This 677-nucleotide ribosomal RNA is filed under the name uncultured Actinomycetes bacterium. RNAcentral describes it as "bacterial SSU rRNA". It matches the Rfam family "Bacterial small subunit ribosomal RNA", at positions 773 to 1453 of the family's 1533-position model. The record is from RNAcentral. Lineage: Bacteria; Bacillati; Actinomycetota; Actinomycetes.